Molecule: non-coding RNA, 247 nt
Filed under: Clostridiales bacterium
Lineage: Bacteria; Bacillati; Bacillota; Clostridia; Eubacteriales
Description: T-box sequence
Rfam family: T-box leader
About the family: Uncharged tRNA acts as the effector for transcription antitermination of genes in the T-box leader family.
Source: RNAcentral
UUAAAAGCAAUGAAGGUGUACAGUAGACACUUAUUUUCCACCAGAGAGGGGAGGCCACCGGCUGAAAGCCUGCCCAGGUUCAGAUAAGAGGUUGAAAUUCCCACUGGAGCUGCAUGGAUGAAGGAAGGUAUUCCUGUAGUCCGUGACGUGAGCAUACGUUACAUGCGUUUAAGUGUCUGCAUUGACAGGCCGCAAGGCCUUUAAGCAGGAAUCAGGGUGGUACCGCGGGUAUUGUCUCGUCCCUUCG